AUUUUCUUUCCAUGUCUACGUACAGUAGGUUUUCUCCAGGCACUCUGGUUUCCUCCCACAUCCCAAAAACAUGCACGGCAGGUUAAUUGAAGACUAAACUACUCGCAGGUGUGAAGGUGAGUAUGAAUGGUCGUUUGUUUAUAUGUGCCCUGCAAUUGAUUGGCAACCAGUUCUGUGUGUACCCCACCUCCUGAGAGCACUUCCGCAACACUUGUGAAGAUAAGCAGCUCAGAAAAGGGCAGGAUGAAUAUAUGCGGAAGAAAUGUGUCGUGAACGACGUUGACUUGCCUCAUAGCUCAAAACCAAAGACAGGUCUCGAGAAGCUCCCUGCUAAAGUUGGGAAGGCCUGGACGAGUGUAGUUCAACUACACACAGAAAAGUGGUGUGAUUAUGAGUGCGACUGCCGUCUGUCUCCAUGUGCCCUGCGUUUGGCUGGCAACCUGUUCAGGGUGUACCCCGCCGCCUGCCUGAUGAGACCUGGGAUAGGCUCCAGCACUCCCGCGACCCUCAUGAGGAUAAGCAGCUCAGGAGAUGGAUGGAUAUAGUUUCGAAAAUAUAUGGCCUUUUAAGACAAUGCCACAGUAUUUUAAUCAAAUUCAACUCCGGACUUUGACUCGGCCACUUCAAAACCAUUCAGAAGUUGUCUUGGUGGUGUGGUUUGGAUCAUUGUUGGUUGGAUGGAUGGAUGGAUGGAUGGAUGGAUGGAUGGAUAAGUGGCGAGUUACUAUGCCACCACUGAAGACUUUGUGUCUGAAUGAGGUGUAAA
This is a long non-coding RNA of Syngnathoides biaculeatus (alligator pipefish), 766 nucleotides long. RefSeq lists it as uncharacterized. NCBI's taxonomy places the organism in Eukaryota, Metazoa, Chordata, Actinopteri, Syngnathiformes, Syngnathidae. The transcript is spliced from 3 exons. The record is from RefSeq and is a predicted model, not a curated record.